This is a long non-coding RNA of Brassica napus (rape), 2977 nucleotides long. RefSeq lists it as uncharacterized. The transcript is spliced from 2 exons. The record is from RefSeq and is a predicted model, not a curated record. Lineage: Eukaryota; Viridiplantae; Streptophyta; Magnoliopsida; Brassicales; Brassicaceae.
GAAAAAUGUUGGAGAGUGAGAGAACAAAAGGAACGACUUGUCGUGUCAAGUGUGAGUGAGAAAUGUUCUAGUUAUUGGCUUUUACUUGAUCUCGGGCAGUGAAUCUGUAUGGGGCUUUCAUUCUUCUUUUUCUUGGGUUCGUCGAUUCCGGUUUGCCUCUCGGGGGAGUGUCAGUUCUUGUUUUGGUUGUGGUGAUGUUUCACUGCUUGUUUCCGGCUUCAUCCAAGUUUGAUUUUGCUGCUCUUUGAUGUUGAUUAAGGUUCUCGUGUCGUGUCUGCCUCCUCGUAUGGUCUGCUAGGCCUGCGAAGCAGUGGAUUCUAUUUUCAGGUCUUCUCUUUGCGACGAGGUUGUCAAUAUUGGAUCACUGAUAAAAUUGGAUAUAUCCAUUUCGUCUGGCCAUGUCAUUGACGUGGUCAUUACUGUCAGGGCCGUCGUCUUUCUCCAUCCUAAACUGAUUUGCAAGGUAUUAUGGUCUUCUUUGCUAACAUAUUUUUUUAUCAGAAUAUUUUUUUCACAAAUUUUGUUUUUAAAUAAAACCUUUCAAAAAUUUUAGGUGGAAAAUUCUAUUUUACUUUACUGAUAAUGAAACAUUAAUGUAUAGCUAGACUCUGAAAGGACGGGUAUAUAUAUAUAUAUAUUUUUUAAGAAAUUUAAUUUUUAUAUUUGUGUUAUUUUUUAUAAUCAAAUUUUUAUUUAAUUUAAAAUAAAUUUUAGUAACUAUAUUAAAUAUGUCAAGUUGCAUAACUAUACACUUGUGUCAUAUGCAUGUCAUAAAUUAUUUUUAAACUUUAUUUCUAAAGUUUGCAACAUAUUAAAUUUUCUUAAUAAUUACCUAACAUAAUUAGUCAAGAAUAUUCGUACCAUAAAAUCUGACUUGAAAUCGACCCCAAAAUCAAAGUCUCAUAUUCUAUUAGACCUAGCCUAUAUAUUCGAACGGUUCUUAAAGUAUUAUAUCUGAAAACUACAAAUCUAACCUACACCGAAAACGAACAAAUUUUUUGAAAAAUAUUUGGAAAAAAUAUUUUUUAGUAUAUUCUGUUAAAUAUAUAUAUAUAUGUAAAUGGGUUAAUAUGGUAUUCAUUAAGUUUAAGUAAAAUCAUAUUUAAUAAAUAUUUUUUAAUCAAAUAAUCUAUUUAAAACCCGUUAAACUAAAACCCGUAAAAUAUAUUUUUAUAAAUAAUACUACCAUAAGAAUACAUAUUGUCAUUAACACAUGACUAUAUCAGAAACCACCCACAUUCCUGAAAAUUAUGUAUAAAACGCAAAUCUAUGAAUCAAACUUUGAAAGAAGAAAAAUAACUAUUCAGUAAAAAAAAAAACUUAAUUUAUGCUUUAAAAAAAAUGUAAAUGUUUUUUGUGGAAACUAAUAGAACUUGGUUAAUAAGGAUUAUUUUGUUUCAAUAAUAUUAAUAAUUGGACGUGUUCCUUUUUUUUUUUUUUUUUGAUAAACUCUAUCGGCUGAUCCGGUCGGCCCCGGGAGGAACGCACUUAGUGAUACAGAGUGGACUAGCCCGAAAGCGUACCACACUGUCUGACCCGAGUUUGGAAUAUCUUCCGACUAAUACCAGGGGGUGGACCAAUCAUCUGUUAUGGCCCACCAUGUAAACCACUUGGGCUUUGGCCCAAGCCCAAACUGGCCAAGCAUUGUUAAUUUAGUUCCCAGUGGGAAUCGAACCCAGAACUGAUGUGGGUACACACCAAGCCCCAAGAGAUUGCCACUAGGCUACCACCACUGGGUUAAACUGUAUAGGUUGAACUUUUUAUAUCAACUGUGCUCAACCCGAAAGACCACCUCGCCAGAAAUUCUCGUAGGGAUUUUUUAGCUAAUCUAGUACCGCUCAGCUGUCCCUGAGUAUCGAACUGGCGACUUCGGAUAGUCGUGUGUGAAAAACAUUCAGUACUGCCGUUAGGCCACCUGACGUUCUCAAUCGGACAUGUUCCUAAUUUAACAUUAUUGAUUUUUGAAAAACAAAUUAAGCGUUACAUCCGGUCAUUCCGUCUCGUUUGUGAAAACAAACUAAACGAAUGAUGGUUAGCGGUUGUAUAUGUUUUUUUGGUUGACACUUGUGAAUUAUGAUCAUUGAGUUUUUCAUUAUCAAUCUCGUAAUAAAACGUUUUCCCUCUCGUGUUUUCCUAAAAAUCAAUGUUUUUUUUUGCUUUCAUGUUUUCUGCCUAAAUUCUUUUGUACCUUGCCUCUUAAAAAAAUUGUUUCCUUUGCUGAUUUGCUUGUUUUUAACUUUCUUCUUGUGUUCGUUUGCUUUUGAUAUUGGUGGGAGGGGACUACGAGAAGUCUUGGUUACUCAAAGAAGCUUUUAUUGGAUCUGCUAGUGGGAAAGAUGCAACAGAGAUACAGCAACCAUCUUCCACGGACGUCUUUAACCAUAAUAGUUUGGAGUUCUAACAUUCUUUUUUUUUUUUAAUAGUUAGUGUUAAACACGAACUCUGCUAAAUGCUAAUAAAUUCAACCUUGUUAAUUUAUAGAAAUCAUAAUUGGUUUGCCUUUUCUCCGACGUUAUUAUUUCAGCCUUAUUUAUCUUUAGAAAGAGAGAAAAAAAAACAUUUAUUACAGGAAAUGAAUUAGAAAAAUGCCUCAUUAUUUUUCAGAAGCAUGCAACUUUUUUUUUUGGUAAAAUAGAAGCAUGCAACUUCAGAAUACAUUUUAAUUAUGAUUAUUUGGAAUGGAUAAUUCCGUAAAAUUUCAUAAUAUAUUCACCAGUUAUAACGAACUUUAAAAAUAUAUUUUCAAAGAUACAGUAAAAUAAACCGAGAACUGGAUUGAAAGACACCCCAUGGUUGCAAACAUUAGCAUCAACUUGUAUUGCUAACUAAUUGCCAAAGAACCAAAGCCCUCGAAAACAUGAGAUUACAUCUUUCGCAUUUGAAACCAAACCAAAAAUUAGUCUUGAUCAUGUUUUAGACGUUAUUAUUAAUAGUGUAAUAUUGCUCCAUCAUCUAAGAACUCAAGAGAGUAGUCAAA